This 18-nucleotide non-coding RNA is filed under the name Arabidopsis thaliana (thale cress). Lineage: Eukaryota; Viridiplantae; Streptophyta; Magnoliopsida; Brassicales; Brassicaceae. The record is from RNAcentral.
CGCGGCGACGUGGGUGGU